GGACGGCAGGGCAGAGAUGACUGAUUCAACAAAGGUUCCCCAGGACAGUGGGUUUUAGACCAGGAGUCCAAGGACCAGACUAGGGAUAUCUGAGGCUGGACUGAAUGCUCCUGAUCACACCUGUGCUUGGUACCAGCACAGACCCUGGCACAGAACAGACCCGUAACUGCGGCUUGCUGGAUAAUGAUGAAUCCAUGUGUGCCUCGGGCGACAGGUACCCGAGAAGGUGGCAGUUUUGGUGUAAAGGUAAACAGCAAACAGCGCUUCUAUUCACUGAGGUAUGAGCCAGGAAGAGGGACAAGCUGCUGGAGCCAAAGCCUUGGCCU
Long non-coding RNA from Suricata suricatta (meerkat), 326 nucleotides. RefSeq lists it as uncharacterized. The record is from RefSeq and is a predicted model, not a curated record. The transcript has 3 exons. NCBI's taxonomy places the organism in Eukaryota, Metazoa, Chordata, Mammalia, Carnivora, Herpestidae.